Molecule: long non-coding RNA, 410 nt
Organism: Gossypium arboreum
Lineage: Eukaryota; Viridiplantae; Streptophyta; Magnoliopsida; Malvales; Malvaceae
Exons: 2
Source: RefSeq, a predicted model, not a curated record
AAGAAUAGAAAAAGAAAGAAAGGAUGAAACGAAACAGAGAGUAGGGGAAAGAAAGAAGGAAAAAAAAGGAAAGAAGGAAAAAGGGAAAAAUUGGGAUUUCAAGGCUUGAAAGUUAAAUAGGUGUUUUAACUUGGUACCAUAUGGCCCUUUUGGAAAUAGUGAGUUAAGUCGUGACGACGUACUCUCAACGUCACGACAAGAUCAAGUCAGUGAGUUACGUUCGACGAGGAACCCCAAAGUGGCGAUGUCCUGAUAAUUUGAAAACUUUACAAAUUGGUCCUUAUUCGACCUCGAAUCAUCUUAAAAGCUUUCGUAAACUUAUAUAAGGCUUAAAAAUGAUUGUAUAAUAUAUUGUAAAUGAGUAAUAUAAUUAGUAGUGUGUAUAUAUGGUUAAAUUGAAUUGUAUUUAA